This 1608-nucleotide long non-coding RNA is filed under the name Sus scrofa (pig). RNAcentral's name for it is "lncRNA (ENSSSCG00040036880.1)". Lineage: Eukaryota; Metazoa; Chordata; Mammalia; Artiodactyla; Suidae. The record is from RNAcentral.
CCAGAGGCCUGAUUAACACCAGCAGGAGUCCCUGCCCAGCGGCUCCAGCUGUCCAGCCCCACGGAGUGAUUCAACGUGAAAACAUGCAAGCAGACCUCCCGGACAUUCCGCCCCUGCCGCUGCUGCCUCACUCUGGCUAUGAAAACGCUCAGAAUUUCACAAGACUCUCUGAAAAUGUUCCUAAGGGGAGUUCUCCAGAGUUGGAGUGAGCCAGCCCUGAGUCUUCUGGAAGGGGUACAGAGGGGAAGGCGUUGUGUUCAGAGGGGCAGAGGCAGGGCUCCAACGCGACCAGCCUGAAAGGCUGGCUGCCUCUGGGCUCCAAGCUCGCCCUGCAAGGGUUCUGGCUCGCAGCUUUACGAGCAAGGGAAUUUACAGCUCUGCCCGCUUCCCCACCCACGACUACCUUUAAUUGCAAGCCUCACAUUUGCUCCCUGCACCCCUCUUGCCAAAGGCACUUCCCGACUCCCUCAGAGCAGACGGGCGCCAGCCGGGCCUCCAGACGACAACCGACAACCUCCAUGGUGACUCCUUGUCAGUCUAUUUCAACCCCAGUGCCUCAUAUUAUGCUGCUGUGUGAGAAAAGAGCCCUGACCCGAAGAGUCCCGUGACAGAAGGCUGACCAAUUCUGCAGGCAGCACUGCAAACAGACCCACCAGGACUUCUUGGACACAGAUGAAGGAGACCUGGAUCUAGCUGCAGCACCAUGGUGAUGGGCCAUCAGCCUUCCUGUCUUCCUGCUUCAUCUAUAGCAUAUCCCGGGGACUUGUUAAGUGCUCUGCUAACCUGACCCACUACCCCGGUAACACUGUCUGAUCAGCACUGAACGUUCUCAUUAAACUGUUCCUCAUUUAGGAGGCCUUUUGUAAAAUGCACACAAACCAUCUGUCUAAAUCACAGAUUUCUCCUCCAGUUGUGCGAGGGUAGACAACAGGCAGAGGCUGCAUUCCUGACUUGUCUAUUUGGGAAAGUGAAACCCACCCUCAGAUUUCUGGCUCUUUUCUCAUCAGCUAUGAUUUCAUGGAACCAAUUGGAGUUCUAUUGUUACCUUGGAGGUAACAUCUGUAGAGUCCUGUAGCAUCCUAUAUUGGAUUUCCUUCUGGAAUGGAGCUUUGGACCCUUCUGAAAAAUCAUGGUGAUGACAGUGAUCAUAAAAAUGACAUAUUUAGCACUGACUGUGAGCCAGGGAUUGUCCCAAGCAAUUUAUUUCUAUUAGCUCAUAUAAUUCUCAUGACAGUCUUAUGAGGUGGGUGCUAUCUGUGUCCCCUAUUUUACAAAGGCCGAGUGGCUUGGCUGAGGUCUCCCAGCGGCAAAUGUGAAGCUGAGAUGGGAAACCAGUGCUGAGCCCUCAUUCUUGAACUUGGAUGCAUAAUGCUUCCUGGGGCUCAGGCUCCACCUUCUCCAUAGCAUUCCUGCCUGCCAUGCUCUUGAGCUUUCUUUUACCUGCCCCAGAUUUAAUUCUGUCCUCUUUGUUGAAAAGCAGCAGUGGGUUGGAGCAGCAUUUUGGCCUUAUUUUGGGCUUAUCUUCCCUGUUUUUCCUACUUUGAAGGUUAAUUAAUUAUUUACUUUUUAAAAAUGUUAAUUUCCCCAAUAUAAUUUUUUUUCUACUGU